GCGUCGUUGGUGUAAUGGUAGCAUACUUGGUUCCAACCCAAACGGUCAGGGUUCGAGUCCUUGGCGGCGCGCCA
This 74-nucleotide transfer RNA is filed under the name Caudoviricetes sp. Its description in RNAcentral is "tRNA-Trp". It matches the Rfam family "tRNA". Rfam says of the family: Transfer RNA (tRNA) molecules are approximately 80 nucleotides in length. Their secondary structure includes four short double-helical elements and three loops (D, anti-codon, and T loops). Lineage: Duplodnaviria; Heunggongvirae; Uroviricota; Caudoviricetes. The record is from RNAcentral.